This 27-nucleotide small RNA is filed under the name Bombyx mori (domestic silkworm). RNAcentral's name for it is "ovarian small RNA-34932". Lineage: Eukaryota; Metazoa; Arthropoda; Insecta; Lepidoptera; Bombycidae. The record is from RNAcentral.
UGGCUGAUAUUGCGUAGUUAGAGGCGU